GAAGUACUCGCACGGGCUUGACUCGAAGGAGAAUGUCUGAGAGCCGGCUGUGAAUGGAGAGACUUUGAAGCCUUCCCAUGAUGAGCACUGCCCCCAGUGAGCUAGCUGUGAGUAGCUCACAAGGCUGUGACCGUCUUGGCUCAGGUCUAUGCCCAUGAAGCUGCUGUGUGUGUACCAUAUGAUGAAUACUCCCACCGUCGCUACUCCCACGUACAUACCAAUCACCUGUAGACAAAAGUUAACCCACAUUAUUAAUCAAGAGUUUCAAAAAAACAAGUGAGAAGAAUGUGUGUGUAGGCUCCCGUCCUCCGAGAGCGCGUUCAGUGAGUUGAACAUCUCAAUAGCCACCAACACCGAGAGGGAGAGCGUGGACGCUUUGAUCUUCCCCUGGUGGAAGUACUCGCACGGGCUUGACUCGAAGGAGAAUGUCUGAGAGCCGGCUGUGAAUGGAGAGACUUUGAAGCCUUCCCAUGAUGAGCACUGCCCCCAGUGAGCUAGCUGUGAGUAGCUCACAAGGCUGUGACCGUCUUGGCUCAGGUCUAUGCCCAUGAAGCUGCUGUGUGUGUACCAUAUGAUGAAUACUCCCACCGUCGCUACUCCCACGUACAUACCAAUCACC
RNAcentral lists this long non-coding RNA (619 nucleotides) under Brassica napus (rape). RNAcentral's name for it is "long non-coding RNA (BNAP_LNC008503)". The record is from RNAcentral. Lineage: Eukaryota; Viridiplantae; Streptophyta; Magnoliopsida; Brassicales; Brassicaceae.